Meloidogyne enterolobii is the source of this 70-nucleotide non-coding RNA. Lineage: Eukaryota; Metazoa; Nematoda; Chromadorea; Rhabditida; Meloidogynidae. The record is from the annotation of a GenBank genome assembly.
UGUUUUGGUUUAUUGGGAAAAUGUUUGGACAACUAUUCGAAAGGUCGGAGGUUCGAACCCUUCAUGGCAA